RNAcentral lists this ribosomal RNA (449 nucleotides) under uncultured bacterium. RNAcentral describes it as "partial 16S ribosomal RNA". It matches the Rfam family "Bacterial small subunit ribosomal RNA", at positions 330 to 795 of the family's 1533-position model. The record is from RNAcentral.
GCCAGACUCCUACGGGAGGCAGCAGUGGGGAAUAUUGCACAAUGGGGGAAACCCUGAUGCAGCAACGCCGCGUGAGUGAGGAAGUAUUUCGGUAUGUAAAGCUCUCUCAGCAGGGAAUAGAAAAGAAGGUACCUGAAAAAGAAGCCCCGGCUAACUACGUGCCAGCCGCCGCGGUAAUGCGUAGGGGGCAAGCGUUAUCCGGAUUUACUGGGUGUAAAGGGAGCGUAGGCGGUGCAGCAAGUCAGAAGUGAAAGCCCGGGGCUCAACUCCGGGACUGCUUUUGAAACUGUUGAACUAGAUUGCAGGAGAGGUAAGUGGAAUUCCUAGUGUAGCGGUGAAAUGCGUAGAUAUUAGGAGGAACACCAGUGGCGAAGGCGGCUUGCUGGACAGAGACUGACGUUGAGGCUCGAAAGCGUGGGGAGCAAACAGGAUUAGAUACCCCGGUAUCU